AUUGAACGCUGGCGGCAUGCUUUACACAUGCAAGUCGAACGGCAGCACGGGUGCUUGCACCUGGUGGCGAGUGGCGGACGGGUGAGUAAUGCAUCGGAACGUGUCCUGAAGUGGGGGAUAACGCAUCGAAAGAUGUGCUAAUACCGCAUAUUCUCUGAGGAGGAAAGUAGGGGAUCGAAAGACCUUAUGCUUUUGGAGCGGCCGAUGUCUGAUUAGCUAGUUGGUAGGGUAAUGGCUUACCAAGGCGACGAUCAGUAGUUGGUCUGAGAGGACGACCAGCCACACUGGGACUGAGACACGGCCCAGACUCCUACGGGAGGCAGCAGUGGGGAAUUUUGGACAAUGGGCGCAAGCCUGAUCCAGCCAUGCCGCGUGAGUGAAGAAGGCCUUCGGGUUGUAAG
Molecule: ribosomal RNA, 401 nt
Filed under: uncultured bacterium
Lineage: Bacteria
Description: bacterial SSU rRNA
Rfam family: Bacterial small subunit ribosomal RNA
Source: RNAcentral